Molecule: long non-coding RNA, 1087 nt
Organism: Adelges cooleyi (spruce gall adelgid)
Lineage: Eukaryota; Metazoa; Arthropoda; Insecta; Hemiptera; Adelgidae
Exons: 5
Source: RefSeq, a predicted model, not a curated record
UUUAUAUUUUUUAUACAAAACAUUUAUAUUUUUUAUAUAAUACUGAAUACUAGCCAGUAGUCGUUCGCUAGGAACAUUAUUUUGAGACAACUCUACAAAACAGAAAAAUUAAAAAAGUGAUUGCACAGCUAUUGUAAUUUAAAGGGUUUAAAUUUUUUUUUGUAAUGAACAAACUACGCAAAAAAUCAACGCUUCUAAAUAAUCGUUCGGAUUUUGUUAAUUUUUCUUCGUUGUCUAUCAAAUCAACAUUUUCCUAUUAAGGCCCUUGACUUUGAAGGCGUUGACAGGCCUUUGAAUAUAAAAGCUCGAGUUAAAUGGCCUUGUUACACAUCAUGGAUGAAGAUCUAGCCGAUAGAAGGUUUGGACACCGCUAUGGUAGAAGAGGUGACUCCGAGCGGGAACUCGAGUUGGAGCCAAUGACUUAACUGCGUGAUAGCGAUAUAGAAGUCUCUGAUGCUUGUCCAAGUUUUUCAAAAGAUAAUGACGAGUUACUAUGUUGUGAGCUAUGGAUUUUAUCAUCGCCGAUAAGUCCAAGUGAGAAUUCAUGGGGAGAUAGCUGACUAGUUCCUGGGAUCAACCGCUUGUUGUUGGUGGCCUUGGGUGCAGUGGAAAAUUUGGAAAUGAGCGUAAUGUAUUUAUAGGACUUUAUGCACAAAUGGUUAUCAUAACAAAAUCUUCAUAAACUGUUUUUGGCAAGCUAUGAAUGUUACAUUUGUUGCUACUCUCUUCAGUUGUAAAUCAUCAACUACUGCUGCUACUACCAUAGAAUCAGCCACUGUUGUAUUUGAGUCUUAACAAGCUCUACAAUCUGUUUAUCGCAGAAUUAUUUGUUUAUGCUCAGUUUUCUUAUUAGCCCAUUAUUAUUGUUAUUUAUCGGUCCACACAAAGUGCAGUAUAAAUUAGUACAAUAACAAAAGUUGGGUUAAACCAAUUAUAAAAUCCAAGGGCGGAUCUAGAAACAAAAAAAAGAGGGUUAGAAAAAAAAUCAAAGAAAGAGUAUAUUUAAAGUCCUGAGUAAAAAUGUUUAUUAUAAACUUUAUUAGGUAAUUAAUUAACAAUUUUGUAUAUAAGUGUGUAAUGAAAAAUA